GCCUGGGUGGCUCAGUCGGUUGAGCGUCUGACUUCAGCUCAGGUCACGAUCUCACGGUCCGUGAGUUCGAGCCCCGCAUCGGGCU
This 85-nucleotide transfer RNA is filed under the name Felis catus (domestic cat). It matches the Rfam family "tRNA". From Rfam's summary of the family: Transfer RNA (tRNA) molecules are approximately 80 nucleotides in length. Their secondary structure includes four short double-helical elements and three loops (D, anti-codon, and T loops). Lineage: Eukaryota; Metazoa; Chordata; Mammalia; Carnivora; Felidae. The record is from Rfam by way of RNAcentral.